Molecule: long non-coding RNA, 763 nt
Filed under: Capra hircus (goat)
Lineage: Eukaryota; Metazoa; Chordata; Mammalia; Artiodactyla; Bovidae
Description: lncRNA (ENSCHIG00000008027.1)
Source: RNAcentral
CAGCAUUGAUCUCAUCAGAAAAGACUCCAAGUUUUGGCACGCCGCUGUCAAGCUCCCAAGGAGCUUGCGGGGACCUCACUUGAAGAACUGCUGAUUUAGGAAUUCUUAGUUAACUGCUGACUGAGGUCUGCCUUCAGGCUACUUCCCUCUCUGGGACUGUGGGAGCCCUGUGUGUAUCGUCAGAAUCUGUUGCUAUGCCUGGUGAACAGCAAGUGCUCGAAAUACACCUGGUUAAGGGAGUCCAGUGUGGAGAGAGCUUUGUCCCUCAUCCGAGAUUGUAAUCAGAGCACACUGUUAUAUGUAGAAGUUGGUGAUAUUGGGGAUGUUCCAGUGUAAAAGGAGAAGUUUUCUUAAAGAUCCACUGGCUGUCUUUCACUGAACCUGGAAUGCUUCCAGUUUCCACAUCUGAUAUGGGUCUUGUCUCAAGACUUGAGGACUGGAUUUACUGUGGUGAUCAUUUCAUAUAGUACGCAGAAUGUCAGAUCUCUACAUUUCAAUGAAAAGACUUGAUUUAGAUAAUUCUUUUUAUAAUGGCCUUACUGAGAUAUAAUUCUGAUAGCAUACAGUAAAAAGCAUACAGUUCAGUGGUUUUCAGUAUAUUUGCAGAGUUGUACGAGCAUCAUCAUUGGAACAUUUUUUUGUCACCCCUGAAUAAAACCCUGGACCCAUUAGCAAUUCAUCCCAUUUCUCUUGGGGAGAGAAUGCCCCUGCAUUCUCUAACUCAUUCUGGGCAUUACAUAUAAAAUAUUCAUUAAGUAUGUGG